RNAcentral lists this unclassified non-coding RNA (345 nucleotides) under soil metagenome. Its description in RNAcentral is "partial contains 5.8S ribosomal RNA, internal transcribed spacer 2, and large subunit ribosomal RNA". The stretch from base 1 to 120 matches the Rfam family "5.8S ribosomal RNA", at positions 35 to 154 of the family's 154-position model. The record is from RNAcentral.
GAUGAAGAACGCAGCGAAAUGCGAUACGUAAUGUGAAUUGCAGAAUUCAGUGAAUCAUCGAGUCUUUGAACGCACAUUGCGCCCCCUGGUAUUCCGGGGGGCAUGCCUGUCCGAGCGUCAUUGCUGCCCUCAAGCACGGCUUGUGUGUUGGGCCUCCGUCCUCCUCCCGGGGGACGGGCCCGAAAGGCAGCGGCGGCACCGCGUCCGGUCCUCGAGCGUAUGGGGCUUCGUCACCCGCUCUUGUAGGCCCGGCCGGCGCUUGCCGACACAUCAAUCUUUUUUCCAGGUUGACCUCGGAUCAGGUAGGGACACCCGCUGAACUUAAGCAUAUCAAUAAGCGGAGGA